This 1962-nucleotide ribosomal RNA is filed under the name Phaeosphaeria sp. YK31. RNAcentral describes it as "SSU rRNA". It matches the Rfam family "Eukaryotic small subunit ribosomal RNA", at positions 78 to 1657 of the family's 1831-position model. Lineage: Eukaryota; Fungi; Ascomycota; Dothideomycetes; Pleosporales; Phaeosphaeriaceae. The record is from RNAcentral.
ACAGUGAAACUGCGAAUGGCUCAUUAAAUCAGUUAUCGUUUAUUUGAUAGUUACCUUACUACUUGGAUAACCGUGGUAAUUCUAGAGCUAAUACAUGCAUAAAAACCCCAACUUCGGAAGCGGCGUCAUUUAUUAGAUAAAAAACCAACGCCCGUCAAGGGCUCUUUUGGUGAUUCAUAAUAACUAAACGGAUCGCAUGGCCUUGCGCCGGCGACGGUUCAUUCAAAUUUCUGCCCUAUCAACUUUCGAUGGUAAGGUAUUGGCUUACCAUGGUUUCAACGGGUAACGGGGAAUUAGGGUUCGAUUCCGGAGAGGGAGCCUGAGAAACGGCUACCACAUCCAAGGAAGGCAGCAGGCGCGCAAAUUACCCAAUCCCGACACGGGGAGGUAGUGACAAUAAAUACUGAUACAGGGCUCUUACGGGUCUUGUAAUCGGAAUGAGUACAAUUUAAACCCCUUAACGAGGAACAAUUGGAGGGCAAGUCUGGUGCCAGCAGCCGCGGUAAUUCCAGCUCCAAUAGCGUAUAUUAAAGUUGUUGCAGUUAAAAAGCUCGUAGUUGAACCUUGGGCCUGGCUGGCCGGUCCGCCUCACCGCGUGUACUGGUCCGGCCGGGCCUUUCCUUCUGGAGAACCGCAUGCCCUUCACUGGGCGUGUUGGGGAACCAGGACUUUUACUUUGAAAAAAUUAGAGUGUUCAAAGCAGGCCUUUGCUCGAAUACGUUAGCAUGGAAUAAUAGAAUAGGACGUCGCGGUCCUAUUUUGUUGGUUUCUAGGACCGCCGUAAUGAUUAAUAGGGAUAGUCGGGGGCAUCAGUAUUCAAUUGUCAGAGGUGAAAUUCUUGGAUUUAUUGAAGACUAACUACUGCGAAAGCAUUUGCCAAGGAUGUUUUCAUUAAUCAGUGAACGAAAGUUAGGGGAUCGAAGACGAUCAGAUACCGUCGUAGUCUUAACCGUAAACUAUGCCGACUAGGGAUCGGGCGAUGUUUCUAUCUUGACUCGCUCGGCACCUUACGAGAAAUCAAAGUUUUUGGGUUCUGGGGGGAGUAUGGUCGCAAGGCUGAAACUUAAAGAAAUUGACGGAAGGGCACCACCAGGCGUGGAGCCUGCGGCUUAAUUUGACUCAACACGGGGAAACUCACCAGGUCCAGAUGAAAUAAGGAUUGACAGAUUGAGAGCUCUUUCUUGAUUUUUCAGGUGGUGGUGCAUGGCCGUUCUUAGUUGGUGGAGUGAUUUGUCUGCUUAAUUGCGAUAACGAACGAGACCUUAACCUGCUAAAUAGCCAGGCUAGCUUUGGCUGGUCGCCGGCUUCUUAGAGGGACUAUCGGCUCAAGCCGAUGGAAGUUCGAGGCAAUAACAGGUUAACCUACACAGGCCUGUAACAGUGGGCCUCGUUAAAGAUAACUGCUAGUCCAGCAUCUUAACCUUCUCGGGGAAGUCCCCAACUGUCGGGAGAAGGAAAGUGAAAGCUCACUUUUGAUGCGGGCAACACCACCUGGUACAGGGGACGCCGGAUCGAUUUCAAUAUCGGUUGGCCAAUCCUGUGGCGAGCUGGAGUAACGUCCAGCCGUCGCAACGUGCGGAAAGGGGUGGGCUACUGGGAACAGUAGCUUAAGGUACGUACUAAUCCCUUGGGUAACCAAGCACCUUCACUGAGGCCCGACAGGCUAAGGUGCUGGUGGGCACUGGAAGUAAUUCUCUGGUGCUGGUGUGUGUGAGUUUACUGUAGUCGAUUAUCAAAUCGACUAUCAGGAAACCGCACUCUAAAUGCUGUGAUGCCCUUAGAUGUUCUGGGCCGCACGCGCGCUACACUGACAGAGCCAACGAGUUCACCACCUUGGCCGGAAGGUCUGGGUAAUCUUGUUAAACUCUGUCGUGCUGGGGAUAGAGCUUUGCAAUUAUUGCUCUUCAACGAGGAAUGCCUAGUAAGCGCGUGUCAUCAGCACGCGUUGAUUACGUCCCUGCC